Molecule: ribosomal RNA, 813 nt
Filed under: uncultured marine bacterium
Lineage: Bacteria
Description: bacterial SSU rRNA
Rfam family: Bacterial small subunit ribosomal RNA
Source: RNAcentral
AGUCGAACGAAGUAGCAAUACUUAGUGGCAGACGGGUGAGUAACAUGUAGGUAUCUGCCCUUUGGCCUGGAAUAACACGAGGAAACUUGUGCUAAUACCGGAUAAGUCUUUACGGAGAAAGCUUUAUGCACCAUUGGAUGAGCCUGCACUUGAUUAGUUUGUUGGUGGGGUAAUGGCCUACCAAGACUGUGAUCAAUAGCUGAUUUGAGAGGAUGAUCAGCCACAUUGGGACUGAGACACGGCCCAAACUCCUACGGGAGGCAGCAGUGGGGAAUCUUGCACAAUGGAGGAAACUCUGAUGCAGCGAUGCCGCGUGAGUGAAGAAGGCCCUUGGGUUGUAAAGCUCUUUCGUCGGGGAAGAAAAUGACUGUACCCGAAUAAGAAGGUCCGGCUAACUUCGUGCCAGCAGCCGCGGUAGUACGAAGGGACCUAGCGUAGUUCGGAAUUACUGGGCUUAAAGAGUUCGUAGGUGGUUGAAAAAGUUAGUGGUGAAAUCCCAGAGCUUAACUCUGGAACUGCCAUUAAAACUUUUCAGCUAGAGUAUGAUAGAGGAAAGCAGAAUUUCUAGUGUAGAGGUGAAAUUCGUAGAUAUUAGAAAGAAUACCAAUUGCGAAGGCAGCUUUCUGGAUCAUUACUGACACUGAGGAACGAAAGCAUGGGUAGCGAAGAGGAUUAGAUACCCUCGUAGUCCAUGCCGUAAACGAUGUGUGUUAGACGUUGGAAAUUUAUUUUCAGUGUCGCAGGGAAACCGAUAAACACACCGCCUGGGGAGUACGACCGCAAGGUUAAAACUCAAAUGAAUUGACGGGGACC